Molecule: long non-coding RNA, 1113 nt
Organism: Temnothorax curvispinosus
Lineage: Eukaryota; Metazoa; Arthropoda; Insecta; Hymenoptera; Formicidae
Exons: 6
Source: RefSeq, a predicted model, not a curated record
AUUUGGACUUGGAAAUAACGUUGGUAGUAUAUUAAUUUUCUGUUGUUAGAAUGUUAUUGUUUUAUAUUGUGCCCAACGCUCAUCGCGACAGCCAUGAUGCGUACAUUUACGUACGAUGCGUGAGUGCGUAUACACACGUGUGGAUCGAGCAGUGCGGAGUGCUCUUUAUUUACAGUAUAUUUAUAUAUAACUGUUUGAGUGCGUCGAGAUCAUGAGCAAACGCACGCUUGUUGCGACAGCCAAUCGGAAGCAGUAAUAGUUCUGGAGACUGUAGUCGCAUUAUCUUACAUAUACGUAUGAUGUGUGAGUGUGUCAUAUAUACGUACGUUUGUGCUUGUGCGCUUGUGCGCUGUCGAGAGCUUUUAAUUGUAUACAACAUUUUUAUAUGGGUAGCUGGUGAUUCAAGAUCUAUUUUUCGACCUAUAUAAGAGAGAAAUUUGCAGAAGAAAAAAAAUAUACCAAAGUAUUAAUAAGGAUCGAACAUAUUCUUGAUGUACUCGGGCCACGAGGCUGAGCAAUAUUCUAAGAAAAGUAUUGUACAAGAUACAAAGAUUGGACAAUAUCUCAUCCCUUUAUCUUCCAUUGACAAUUUGAAGAUAUGCUAAAAACUGAUCAAGAAGCUUUCAUGCAAGUUGUGAACAAGGUUAUGUUAAUUGGAGGGAAACAUGAAAAGAAUUUUAUUAGAAGAAGUUUGAGGGCUACAUUUUCUGAUGACUUAGCCUCCAUGUGUUCAUGAACUGGCCAAAAAAAUAAUUAUAAAAUUUAUUGGAGAUACGCACACACAAUUCUGAGCAUUAAAAAAGCUUUUAGAGCAAUAUUCCCUCGGAAUACAGAAAAAGAUUUUCAACACUUUGUAAUGGAGUGGUUCAGAUUCGCAAACGUCCGUAAGGAAAAAAAAACAUUAAAAAGGAAGUGAUAAAUAUAUUAUCUUACUUGCGUGGCUCCGCGCGAGUGAUUAUUAUAGUAACAAAUUUUUUUAUUUGAAAGAUGAGUUUUAUCCCAAAACCUUACGCUAGGAUCAGUGAUCUUCACCAAAGAUAUUAUUGUGAUAAACUGAAAACUGUAAUAUAUGGUAUAUAUUAUUUUUAUAUAAAUAAAACUUUUUUAUGAUAA